CGGGGUGAGUAACGCGUGGAUAACCUGCCUUACACUGGGGGAUAACACUUAGAAAUAGGUGCUAAUACCGCAUAAGCGCACAGAGCCGCAUGGCUCAGUGUGAAAAACUCCGGUGGUGUAAGAUGGAUCCGCGUCUGAUUAGCUAGUUGGCGGGGUAGAAGCCCACCAAGGCGACGAUCAGUAGCCGGCCUGAGAGGGUGAACGGCCACAUUGGGACUGAGACACGGCCCAAACUCCUACGGAAGGCAGCAG
This 252-nucleotide ribosomal RNA is filed under the name uncultured bacterium. RNAcentral's name for it is "partial 16S ribosomal RNA". It matches the Rfam family "Bacterial small subunit ribosomal RNA", at positions 100 to 354 of the family's 1533-position model. The record is from RNAcentral.